This 538-nucleotide ribosomal RNA is filed under the name Clostridioides difficile. RNAcentral's name for it is "bacterial LSU rRNA". It matches the Rfam family "Bacterial large subunit ribosomal RNA", at positions 1822 to 2358 of the family's 2925-position model. The record is from RNAcentral. Lineage: Bacteria; Bacillati; Bacillota; Clostridia; Peptostreptococcales; Peptostreptococcaceae.
UCUGCUAAGUCGCAAGACGAUGUAUAGGAGCUGACGCCUGCCCGGUGCUGGAAGGUUAAGGGGAUCUGUUAGAGCAAUCGAAGCAGUGAACUUAAGCCCCAGUAAACGGCGGCCGUAACUAUAACGGUCCUAAGGUAGCGAAAUUCCUUGUCGGGUAAGUUCCGACCCGCACGAAAGGCGUAACGAUUUGGGCACUGUCUCAACAACAGACUCGGUGAAAUUGUAAUUCCGGUGAAGAUGCCGGAUACCUGCGACAGGACGGAAAGACCCCAUGGAGCUUUACUGUAGCUUGACAUUGGGUCUUGGUACUACAUGUACAGGAUAGGUGGGAGGCUUUGAAACCAGGACGCCAGUUUUGGCGGAGCCAUCCUUGGGAUACCACCCUUGUAGUACUGGGACUCUAACCAUAGGCCAUGAAUCUGGUCUUGGGACACUGUCAGGUGGGCAGUUUGACUGGGGCGGUCGCCUCCCAAAAGGUAACGGAGGCGCUCAAAGGUUCUCUCAGUACGGUCGGAAAUCGUACGUAGAGUGUAAAGGC